GACGAACGCUGGCGGCGUGCUUAACACAUGCAAGUCGAACGGAAAGGCCCUGCUUUUGUGGGGUGCUCGAGUGGCGAACGGGUGAGUAACACGUGAGUAACCUGCCCUUGACUUUGGGAUAACUUCAGGAAACUGGGGCUAAUACCGGAUAGGAGCUCCUGCUGCAUGGUGGGGGUUGGAAAGUUUCGGCGGUUGGGGAUGGACUCGCGGCUUAUCCGCCUGUUGGUGGGGUAGUGGCUUACCACGGCUUUGACGGGUCGCCGGCCUGAGAGGGUGACCGGCGACAUUGGGACUGGGAUACGGCCCAGACUCCUACGGGAGGCAGCAGUGGGGAAUAUUGCACAAUGGGCGGAAGCCUGAUGCAGCAACGCCGCGUGCGGGAUGACGGCCUUCGGGUUGUAAACCGCUUUCGCCUGUGACGAAGCGUGAGUGACGGUAAUGGGUAAAGAAGCACCGGCUAACUACGUG
This 468-nucleotide ribosomal RNA is filed under the name uncultured bacterium. Its description in RNAcentral is "partial 16S ribosomal RNA". It matches the Rfam family "Bacterial small subunit ribosomal RNA", at positions 28 to 507 of the family's 1533-position model. The record is from RNAcentral.